UACGUAGGUGGCAAGCGUUGUCCGGAUUUAUUGGGUUUAAAGGGUGCGUAGGCGGCCUUAUAAGUCAGUGCUGAAAUAUCCCGGCUUAACCGGGAGGGUGGCAUUGAUACUGUAGGGCUUGAGUGUAGUCGAGGUAGGCGGAAUUGACGGUGUAGCGGUGAAAUGCUUAGAUGUCGUCAAGAACACCGAUAGUGUAGACAGCUUACUAGGCUACAACUGACGCUGAGGCACGAAAGUGUGGGGAUCAAACAGG
Molecule: ribosomal RNA, 253 nt
Filed under: uncultured bacterium
Lineage: Bacteria
Description: partial 16S ribosomal RNA
Rfam family: Bacterial small subunit ribosomal RNA
Source: RNAcentral